RNAcentral lists this ribosomal RNA (486 nucleotides) under Pseudomonas sp. CL3.61. RNAcentral's name for it is "bacterial SSU rRNA". It matches the Rfam family "Bacterial small subunit ribosomal RNA", at positions 17 to 498 of the family's 1533-position model. Lineage: Bacteria; Pseudomonadati; Pseudomonadota; Gammaproteobacteria; Pseudomonadales; Pseudomonadaceae. The record is from RNAcentral.
CCCUGGCUCAGAUUGAACGCUGGCGGCAGGCCUAACACAUGCAAGUCGAGCGGUAGAGAGAAGCUUGCUUCUCUUGAGAGCGGCGGACGGGUGAGUAAUGCCUAGGAAUCUGCCUGGUAGUGGGGGAUAACGCUCGGAAACGGACGCUAAUACCGCAUACGUCCUACGGGAGAAAGCAGGGGACCUUCGGGCCUUGCGCUAUCAGAUGAGCCUAGGUCGGAUUAGCUAGUUGGUGAGGUAAUGGCUCACCAAGGCGACGAUCCGUAACUGGUCUGAGAGGAUGAUCAGUCACACUGGAACUGAGACACGGUCCAGACUCCUACGGGAGGCAGCAGUGGGGAAUAUUGGACAAUGGGCGAAAGCCUGAUCCAGCCAUGCCGCGUGUGUGAAGAAGGUCUUCGGAUUGUAAAGCACUUUAAGUUGGGAGGAAGGGCAGUAAAUUAAUACUUUGCUGUUUUGACGUUACCGACAGAAUAAGCACCGGCU